ACCCAAGCCAAGGCAUGCCUGAGGCUACCAGGACCUAGAGGACAGCCGGCUCUCCUUUUCUAAGGAAUUGCCAGGCAAUGCUGAUGCUGCUGGUCUGCAAUGGUUUGAGAACCACUAUCUUAGGACAUUCCAGCCAUGAGGUGGUUUAACUCAGUAUAAACACCAUAUGUUUAGGACCUUCCUUGGAAGGGUCAGAAAAAUUCAGCCAGAGCUGAGAUGCAGAAGGCUUAGCUGAGGAAUGGGUAUGUCCCUUCAAUACCCUGCUGGAGAAAGAGCACCAUUCAGAGAGUCAGAAGCCCUGAAGUCCAGUCCUAGUUCUGGACACACACUCAAAGUGCCGAGCCUCAGUGUCUUCAUCUGCAAAAUGGACAUGCACAUCAACCACUCAGUAUUCCUCCCAGGGAUGUCAUGAGGGUCAAACAGAAGAACGAGGAGUGCCAAGAGCUCUGCCACUCUUGAUGCUGUCCAUCCAGCAGCUCCAACAUCCACCUUGGACCACAUCAGGGAAGAGUGGGCUAAGGAGGGAGAAGCAACAAGCCAGAAGGAGCCUGAACCCCUGACACAUGGACUGUCAUUGCAGCCCUGCUGCCCUCCAACAGACCCCUUUCAAUGGCAGGAGAAUAAGCUUUUAUCUUGGAGUGUGUGUGUCAUCCAUCUGAGUUGUAUAAGCCCAGCUCUAGGUGUGGUCCCAGUCCCCAACCCCCUCAUUUCAUCAUAGAAGAGUUUGCCUUCACCUUCCACCUAGCAAAUGUUUCAGAUCACUGAGACUUUGAGAGCUCUCUCAACAACUGGUAUUGGACAUGGCAGAAAACCCAGGGGGCCAAUAUGCUGAGCAAACUCACAUCCACAUAGAAACUUCCGAUACCCUGGUAGAGCUUCACUCAGAAGCUGCCAAGAGCUGACGAACAAUGAUGUGAGACCACAAGGCUGAGCCUGGGGCAACGUCACUGCUCCCAUUUCAUCCAACACAGGGAUUCUCAGUCUCAGCACUGCUGACAUUUGGGGCCAGAUGACUCCUUGCUGUGGGGCUGUCCUGUGCAUUAUAGGAGGUUAGCAGGACCCCUGGCCUGUACUUGCUGGAUGCCUGUAGCAACCCCCCACUUCAAUCAAAUAUGUCUCCAGACAUUGCCAGACAUCCCCUGGGAGCAAAACUGCCCUAGGCUAAGACCUGCUGCUCUGGAGAAGCAGCUCUCCCACAGCUGCACAGUGAAAUCUCCGGGGAGUGCUAACAAAUACACACUAAUGCCCGGAUCUCCCCCAUGACGCUGACUCAACUGGUCCAGGGUGCAGCCUGGGCACAGGGAUUUGUAGAAGCUCCCCAGGAGAUGAGAUUCUAAGAGGCAGCCAGGGGAGAGAACCACAAUCUGACUCUUACUGGGAUGCCAGGUGUUAUGGUGAUGGGAAAGUAGGCAGAACUGGGGGGCUGUGGUGUGCUGCACUGGAGAAGAAGGUUGAUUCAGCCAGCCUAGUGAUAACAACACAGCUGCUCAAAGGUGCCCCUCAGAGCCAGGACAGGCAUAGGCUCUAAUUGGCCCCCAGGCUGUCAGCCUACACAGAACAUAAAAUGUGCUAAGAUUCUCUACAACCACUGGGCUCUGUUAACCCAGGUCCCAGAUGAACCAGAGUUAACCUAACAGGUCAGAGGUUCUGGUUAAAGUAACCGACUUGGCCCUGCUAAGCCCAUGUCUUCACCUUUGAAACAAGAGCUUUAUUUAGAUGACAUCUCAGGCUUUUUCGGGGUUCUCUCUCUGAAGCUCUCUGUAAAAUGACAAGUCGCUAAAAAUGAGCCCAAUGUGGUCCAUUCUUCAGCAGCCAGAAGCCCUCCCUGUUUGGUCUCUGCAAGGCCUCAUCUAAGUGAGACUGGUACGGAAGACAGUGAUCCUGCCCAGAGCUGACCAGGAGCCAGCAUUAGGCCACCAUCUGCCCAGUUCGUGGACUAGAAGUCCCAGAGUUCUCAGGCACCUGGAGGGCUAAUUGUGGGCUGGAGGCAAACAGAGAAAGGGCUGGAGUCAAUGGGUUGUGCCCUGGCCCUCUUCUCAUGGAAUCACAGCAUCUCAGAGCCCGACAGAUGACCCAGUCCAGGCUGUAAAUGCAGGAGCACCAGAUGCAAGGCGAGCCACUUGCAUCCAUACCACCUGGGAGCUUACAAAGAGAUUCUGAUGCUAUGGGCCUGGAAUGGUGCCUGGGAAUCUGAUUUUUCAAACCCUCAGGUAGUUCUGAUGCAAGACACUGAUGCACCCUUCCCAAAGAGGAAAUUUCCUGGCCUCAACACACCCAGGGUGUCAGCAGCACCUCCCGGCCUGCUCAGACCUCUGUACUGUGCAGCAUCUCAUCUUAUUUUCCUUGCACAUAAAAACCUUCUCCAUUAAUAAAGAGUAUAUAUAGCCUUUACUUGA
Phacochoerus africanus (Common warthog) is the source of this 2396-nucleotide long non-coding RNA. RefSeq lists it as uncharacterized. The record is from RefSeq and is a predicted model, not a curated record. Lineage: Eukaryota; Metazoa; Chordata; Mammalia; Artiodactyla; Suidae. The transcript has 2 exons.